CCUACGGGUGGCUGCAGUGGGGAAUAUUGGACAAUGGGGGGAACCCUGAUCCAGCCAUGCCGCGUGUGUGAAGAAGGCCCUCGGGUUGUAAAGCACUUUCAGUGAGGAAGAACGCCUGGUGGUUAAUACCCAGCAGGAAAGACAUCACUCACAGAAGAAGCACCGGCUAACUCCGUGCCAGCAGCCGCGGUAAUACGGAGGGUGCGAGCGUUAAUCGGAAUUACUGGGCGUAAAGCGCGCGUAGGUGGCUUGAUAAGCCGGUUGUGAAAGCCCCGGGCUCAACCUGGGAACGGCAUCCGGAACUGUCAAGCUAGAGUGCAGAAGAGGAAGGUAGAAUUCCCGGUGUAGCGGUGAAAUGCGUAGAGAUCGGGAGGAAUACCAGUGGCGAAGGCGGCCUUCUGGACUGACACUGACACUGAGGUGCGAAAGCGUGGGUAGCAAACAGGAUUAGAUACCCGGGUAGUC
RNAcentral lists this ribosomal RNA (465 nucleotides) under Vreelandella stevensii. Its description in RNAcentral is "partial 16S ribosomal RNA". It matches the Rfam family "Bacterial small subunit ribosomal RNA", at positions 338 to 795 of the family's 1533-position model. The record is from RNAcentral. Lineage: Bacteria; Pseudomonadati; Pseudomonadota; Gammaproteobacteria; Oceanospirillales; Halomonadaceae.